AGAGUUUGAUCCUGGCUCAGAACGAACGCUGGCGGCAUGCCUAAUACAUGCAAGUCGAACGCGUCUAGCAAUAGACGAGUGGCGGACGGGUGAGUAACGCGUGGGAACCUGCCCUUGAGUGCGGGAUAACCGAGGGAAACUUCGGCUAAUACCGCAUGCGCCCCGGGCAACCGGGGGAAAGAUUUAUCGCUCGAGGAGGGGCCCGCGUCGGAUUAGCUAGUUGGUGGGGUAACGGCCUACCAAGGCGAUGAUCCGUAGCUGGUCUGAGAGGAUGAUCAGCCACACUGGGACUGAGACACGGCCCAGACUCCUACGGGAGGCAGCAGUAGGGAAUAUUGGACAAUGGGGGCAACCCUGAUCCAGCAAUGCCGCGUGAGUGAUGAAGGCCUUAGGGUUGUAAAGCUCUUUCGCGCGCGACGAUGAUGACGGUAGCGCGAGAAGAAGCCCCGGCUAACUUCGUGCCAGCAGCCGCGGUAAUACGAAGGGGGCGAGCGUUGUUC
RNAcentral lists this ribosomal RNA (500 nucleotides) under uncultured bacterium. RNAcentral describes it as "bacterial SSU rRNA". It matches the Rfam family "Bacterial small subunit ribosomal RNA", at positions 8 to 546 of the family's 1533-position model. The record is from RNAcentral.